Molecule: ribosomal RNA, 214 nt
Filed under: uncultured bacterium
Lineage: Bacteria
Description: partial 16S ribosomal RNA
Rfam family: Bacterial small subunit ribosomal RNA
Source: RNAcentral
CCCAGUUCGGAUUGUAGUCUGCAACCCGACUACAUGAAGCUGGAAUCGCUAGUAAUCGCAGGUCAGCAUACUGCGGUGAAUACGUUCCCGGGUCUUGUACACACCGCCCGUCACACCAUGGGAGCCGGAAAUGCCCGAAGCCAGUGACCCAACCUUAGGGAGGGAGCUGUCGAAGGUGGAGCCGGUAACUGGGGUGAAGUCGUAACAAGGUAUC